GAGGAAUAUUGGUCAAUGGGCGCAAGCCUGAACCAGCCAUGCCGCGUGCAGGAUUAAGGCCCUAUGGGUUGUAAACUGCUUUUGUACGGGAAGAAACAGUGCUUCGUUAAGCACCUUGACGGUACCGUAAGAAUAAGGAUCGGCUAACUCCGUGCCAGCAGCCGCGGUAAUACGGAGGAUCCAAGCGUUAUCCGGAAUCAUUGGGUUUAAAGGGUCCGUAGGCGGGCCUGUAAGUCAGUGGUGAAAUCCGGCGGCUUAACCGUCGAACUGCCAUUGAUACUGCAGGCCUUGAAUUAUUGGGAAGUAACUAGAAUAUGUAGUGUAGCGGUGAAAUGCUUAGAUAUUACAUGGAAUACCGAUUGCGAAGGCAGGUUACUAUCAAUAUAUUGACGCUGAUGGACGAAAGCGUGGGGAGCGAA
Molecule: ribosomal RNA, 419 nt
Filed under: uncultured bacterium
Lineage: Bacteria
Description: bacterial SSU rRNA
Rfam family: Bacterial small subunit ribosomal RNA
Source: RNAcentral